Small nuclear RNA from Peromyscus maniculatus bairdii (prairie deer mouse), 103 nucleotides. NCBI's taxonomy places the organism in Eukaryota, Metazoa, Chordata, Mammalia, Rodentia, Cricetidae. The record is from Ensembl.
GUGCUCAAUUCAGCAGCACAUAUACUAAAGUUGGAAUGAUACAGAGAAGAUUAGUAUCCUGUACAAGGAUAAUAGGAAAAUUCAUGAAGCAUUCCAUAUUUUU